GAUGAACGCUGGCGGCGUGCUUAACACAUGCAAGUCGAACGGUGAAGGCGGAGCUUGCUCUGCUGGAUCAGUGGCGAACGGGUGAGUAACACGUGAGCAAUCUGCCCCUGACUCUGGGUUAAGCGCUGGAAACGGCGUCUAAUACUGGAUACGAGCUGCGAAGGCAUCUUCAGCAGCUGGAAAGAACUUCGGUCAGGGAUGAGCUCGCGGCCUAUCAGCUUGUUGGUGAGGUAACGGCUCACCAAGGCGUCGACGGGUAGCCGGCCUGAGAGGGUGACCGGCCACACUGGGACUGAGACACGGCCCAGACUCCUACGGGAGGCAGCAGUGGGGAAUAUUGCACAAUGGGCGAAAGCCUGAUGCAGCAACGCCGCGUGAGGGACGACGGCCUUCGGGUUGUAAACCUCUUUUAGCAGGGAAGAAGCGAAAGUGACGGUACCUGCAGAAAAAGCGCCGGCUAACUACGUG
Molecule: ribosomal RNA, 468 nt
Filed under: uncultured bacterium
Lineage: Bacteria
Description: partial 16S ribosomal RNA
Rfam family: Bacterial small subunit ribosomal RNA
Source: RNAcentral